This 165-nucleotide ribosomal RNA is filed under the name Triticum aestivum (bread wheat). Its description in RNAcentral is "partial small subunit ribosomal RNA". The record is from RNAcentral. Lineage: Eukaryota; Viridiplantae; Streptophyta; Magnoliopsida; Poales; Poaceae.
AUGGACUGCAUUGGUGCCAAGUAUGCAUCAUUUAUUUUUCUGACAAUUCUAAGCCAGCGCAAGAAGAAAACAAAGUAUUAUCACAUGCCAUUGAGGAUGAUCAGGAGUACUAGCGCCCUGUCCGUCCAUGCUCCCCAUCACCGCCGUUGCCGCUGCCAUUGCUAA